This 273-nucleotide unclassified non-coding RNA is filed under the name Hevea brasiliensis (rubber tree). The record is from RNAcentral. Lineage: Eukaryota; Viridiplantae; Streptophyta; Magnoliopsida; Malpighiales; Euphorbiaceae.
GAAGAUGAAUAGAUUCAUCCCCAAUUCAAAUUCCAAGUUACGCCACUUCCGGCGUCUCCGUGAACACCUCACCUAUCCGUCGCCCUCCUCAAACAACACAGCAGACGCUCACCCGCUCCACAUCUUAUGGCACUACCAGAUCCUCGAUCCGGACAGCGAUAUUGUCACCUAUUGGAACUACGUCUUCCUUAUUACCUCCAUCAUUGCUCUCUUCAUCGAUCCUUUGUUCUUCUUCCUCCCUUACGUCGAUGCCGACGGCGUCUGCUUGAGCAA